RNAcentral lists this ribosomal RNA (224 nucleotides) under Clostridium perfringens. RNAcentral describes it as "partial 16S ribosomal RNA". It matches the Rfam family "Bacterial small subunit ribosomal RNA", at positions 1299 to 1522 of the family's 1533-position model. The record is from RNAcentral. Lineage: Bacteria; Bacillati; Bacillota; Clostridia; Eubacteriales; Clostridiaceae.
UGUAGGCUGAAACUCGCCUACAUGAAGCUGGAGUUACUAGUAAUCGCGAAUCAGAAUGUCGCGGUGAAUACGUUCCCGGGUCUUGUACACACCGCCCGUCACACCAUGAGAGUUGGCAAUACCCGAAGUCCGUGAGCUAACCGCAAGGAGGCAGCGGCCGAAGGUAGGGUCAGCGAUUGGGGUGAAGUCGUAACAAGGUAGCCGUAGGAGAACCUGCGGCUGGA